Molecule: ribosomal RNA, 972 nt
Filed under: Syntrophorhabdus sp. PtaU1.Bin058
Lineage: Bacteria; Pseudomonadati; Thermodesulfobacteriota; Syntrophorhabdia; Syntrophorhabdales; Syntrophorhabdaceae
Description: bacterial LSU rRNA
Rfam family: Bacterial large subunit ribosomal RNA
Source: RNAcentral
AAAUUCCUUGUCGGGUAAGUUCCGACCUGCAUGAAUGGCGUAACGAUUGCCCCGCUGUCUCAACCAGGGACUCAGCGAAACUAUACUGGGGGUGAAGAUACCCUCAACCCGCAACUAGACGGAAAGACCCCGUGAACCUUUACUAUAGCUUGACAGUGAACUUCGGGAUUGUAUGUGUAGGAUAGGUGGGAGGCGUUGAAGCCAUGCCGCUAGGUGUGGCGGAGCCAACCUUGAAAUACCACCCUUAUUGUUUUGAGGUUCUAACUCUGACCCGUAAUCCGGGUCGAGGACACUGUCUGGUGGGUAGUUUGACUGGGGCGGUCGCCUCCAAAAAGGUAACGGAGGCGCACGAAGGUCGGCUCAGGCUGAUUGGAAACCAGCCGAAGAGUGCAAAGGCAUAAGCCGGCUUGACUGUGAGACCUACAAGUCGAGCAGGAACGAAAGUUGGUCUUAGUGAUCCGGUGGCUCCAUAUGGAAGGGCCAUCGCUCAACGGAUAAAAGGUACUCCGGGGAUAACAGGCUUAUCUCCCCCAAGAGUUCACAUCGACGGGGAGGUUUGGCACCUCGAUGUCGGCUCAUCGCAUCCUGGGGCUGAAGUAGGUCCCAAGGGUUUGGCUGUUCGCCAAUUAAAGCGGUACGUGAGCUGGGUUUAGAACGUCGUGAGACAGUUCGGUCCCUAUCUGUUGUGGGCGCAGGAUAAUUGAGAGGAGCUGUCCUUAGUACGAGAGGACCAGGAUGGACGGACCUCUAGUGUACCAGUUGUCACGCCAGUGGCAUGGGCUGGGUAGCUAAGUCCGGAAGGGAUAACCACUGAAAGCAUCUAAGUGGGAAGCCCACCUCAAGAUUAGUUAUCCCGUUUGGUAGCAAUACCAGGCUAAGAUCCCGGGUAGACCACCCGGUUGAUAGGCUGAUGGUGUAAGCGCAGCGAUGCGUUUAGCCUACCAGUACUAAUAGAUCGAGCGGCUUGGCCAU